RNAcentral lists this ribosomal RNA (460 nucleotides) under uncultured bacterium. Its description in RNAcentral is "partial 16S ribosomal RNA". It matches the Rfam family "Bacterial small subunit ribosomal RNA", at positions 338 to 795 of the family's 1533-position model. The record is from RNAcentral.
CCUACGGGUGGCAGCAGUGAGGAAUAUUGGUCAAUGGACGAGAGUCUGAACCAGCCAAGUAGCGUGAAGGAUGACUGCCCUAUAGGUUGUAAACUUCUUUUAUAUGGGAAUAAAAUGUUCCACGUGUGGGAUUUUGUAUGUACCAUAUGAAUAAGGAUCGGCUAACUCCGUGCCAGCAGCCGCGGUAAUACGGAGGAUCCGAGCGUUAUCCGGAUUUAUUGGGUUUAAAGGGAGCGUAGGUGGAUUGUUAAGUCAGGUGUGAAAGUUUGCGGCUCAACCGUAAAAUUGCAGUUGAAACUGGCAGUCUUGAGUACAGUAGAGGUGGGCGGAAUUCGUGGUGUAGCGGUGAAAUGCUUAGAUAUCACGAAGAACUCCGAUUGCGAAGGCAGUUCACUGGACUGCAACUGACACUGAGGCUCGAAAGUGUGGGUAUCAAACAGGAUUAGAUACCCUUGUAGUC